This 253-nucleotide ribosomal RNA is filed under the name uncultured bacterium. RNAcentral describes it as "partial 16S ribosomal RNA". It matches the Rfam family "Bacterial small subunit ribosomal RNA", at positions 524 to 776 of the family's 1533-position model. The record is from RNAcentral.
UACGGAGGGGGUUAGCGUUGUUCGGAAUUACUGGGCGUAAAGCGCACGUAGGCGGAUUGGAAAGUUGGGGGUGAAAUCCCGGGGCUCAACCCCGGAACGGCCUCCAAAACUCCCAGUCUAGAGUUCGAGAGAGGUGAGUGGAAUUCCGAGUGUAGAGGUGAAAUUCGUAGAUAUUCGGAGGAACACCAGUGGCGAAGGCGGCUCACUGGCUCGAUACUGACGCUGAGGUGCGAAAGUGUGGGGAGCAAACAGG